This 333-nucleotide ribosomal RNA is filed under the name uncultured bacterium. RNAcentral's name for it is "bacterial SSU rRNA". It matches the Rfam family "Bacterial small subunit ribosomal RNA", at positions 8 to 334 of the family's 1533-position model. The record is from RNAcentral.
AGGGUUUGAUUCUGGCUCAGGAUGAACGCUGGCGGCGUGCUUAACACAUGCAAGUCGAACGGGAUCCGAAAGCGCUUGCGUUUUUGGUGAGAGUGGCGAACGGGUGAGUAACACGUGAGUAACCUGUCCUUUUCUUUGGGAUAAGCUCCUGAAAGGGUGUUUAAUACCUUAUGUUCCGUCUUCUCCGCAUGGGGUUGGUGGGAAAGAUUUGUUUCGGUAAAGGGUGGGCUCGCGGUCUAUCAGCUUGUUGGUGGGGUGAUGGCUUACCAAGGCUUUGACGGGUAGCCGGCCUGAGAGGGUGGUCGGUCAUAUUGGGACUGAGAUACGGCCCAG